GGCGGUUGUCACGGGCCCGAUGGGAGUUCCAGGUCGUGACUUGAGAGUCAUCAUUAUCAUUCCAAGUGGCGACCAUGGUUUUCUUCUUGAAGUUCUUUGGGACACUCUUCUUAUUUGGGCAUUCAUAUUUAGUGUAUCUCAUUUUUUUACACUCAUAGCAUAUCAAGUGGUAUUUGCUAUGUUCCGCUUUUGGCGUAUCUCUUCUAGGAAAUCUCCUAUUUCUAUAGUUCUUUCUCAUAAAUUUACUAAAUCUUUUGGCUAGCAUGGCUAUGUCUUCAUUUUCC
Molecule: long non-coding RNA, 284 nt
Filed under: Theobroma cacao (cacao)
Lineage: Eukaryota; Viridiplantae; Streptophyta; Magnoliopsida; Malvales; Malvaceae
Description: long non-coding RNA (TCAC_LNC005329)
Source: RNAcentral